Molecule: long non-coding RNA, 1611 nt
Organism: Anser cygnoides (Swan goose)
Lineage: Eukaryota; Metazoa; Chordata; Aves; Anseriformes; Anatidae
Source: Ensembl
CUGGAAAAGGCACAGGGGGGCGUUGGGGGCCCGCCCCGGCCCGGUGGGCUGCUGGCAGCGCUGCGGUGGGCGCGGAGCACCCGUCCCCAGCCCGCUGUAAACAGUGUCACCUCACAAGCACGGCCACCACGCACCAGGGACAGACCCCACACGUGAACCCCGAACGUUUCAUGGCCCCCCACGGGCGGCCCUCCCGUCCCUGCGCACCCCACACAGCCCGGCCCUCCCCCGCCGCCAGCAGGCCUCGCCCCGUCCCGGAGCACGGUGUCGGCCGGUGUUGUCCCGCCACCGGCGGCGAGGCGCCCAGACGCCCCGUGCAGCUCCCUGCGGGCCGCGGGCAGCCCCGCUGGCACCACCGCCACCACCACCCCCCGCCUCCUCCCUGCCUCCCGGCGCACCGGGCUGCCCUGCCCGGCCCUGCCCUCGACGGCGGCCUCCUCCCCUGCCACACGCAGCAGCCGAAGCCGUGCAGGUGGAACGCCCGCCCGCGGCCGGCCGCCCACGGGCAUUCCCCCGCGCAGCUGGGCCAGGCGGGUGGGGGACGCCGGGCGGCCGGGGGCUCCCCCAAAGCCGCGUGCUGCUGCGCGGCGUGCGGGCCGGCUGAGCCGUGACGUGGGCCGGGAGGCUCGGGAGGGGCGAAGGGGCGCCCCGCAGCAGCCCAGCCACCGCGGGCGCCUCUGAUUCAGCAGCACCGGCGGCAGCGUGGCCGGGCAUCACCCUGCUGCCCUCCUGCCCGAGCUGCGCGUUUCCGCUCCUUCUCAUGCACUGGCCUGGGAAAUCCGAGGCCUUUUUUUUUUUUUUUUUUUGCCAGGCUGCACGCCAGCUAGGGUGGCUGCCGCUCAGUCUUGCCGUGGGCCGCCAGGGCCCCCUCCCUGCCAGGGAGCCCCCUGCCCUCCUCGCCGUGCCCCCGCGCCGAGCUGCUCUCUCACGCUGCCUCAGCAGAAAACCCUUUGCUGCUGUCAGUCAGUGCCCUGCCAGUUUAGCAAGGUGAGACAGCUGAGAGCAAAGUCAAGAAGCAGGCCGGGUGCCGUGCCAAGAGGGCCGGGAAGAGCGAGCCUGCAGCGGCCGGGCUCGGGCCGCCGCGGAGCUGCAGGCUGGGAGGGCCGGUACGCGGCGGUGGUCAGUGGCUCUGGCAGGAGGGCGGCCCUGCACGAGCAGAAAGUGAUUAUUUUUCUGCCAGAUCAGCUCCCAGAUCCGGUUCGCCGAGCGGCUACGUUGUGCCGGCACAAUGGGGAGGAUGUGGGUGAGCGCUGAGGAGCUGGGAUCGCUCAGACCGCUUCAGACAGCCCUGGCACCGAAAAAAUGUAACCAUGGCCACAGAGGGACCCCACGUUAAUAGGACUGCAGUUACCUGCAGAGCCUUUGUGAGGCCGAGCCUGAUUCAAUCCCUUACUGAACUGCCUCGCUACGGCCGAUUUAAUGAGUGCUGGAUGUGAGCUAGCAGGAGGCAUGGCGGUGCUUUCACCUGCCCUUCCGCCGUAAUACCUGCACUCGUUUGCACUUUCAGGCAGAGCUGAGAGGGAGGAUGACUGCCUGCUUUCCCAUCACGAUUUAUCCCAAAUGUGUCAUGUUUUCACUCCCAGAAGCAUUUUAGUUUCUUCUUAGUGCCUC